Molecule: unclassified non-coding RNA, 315 nt
Filed under: plant metagenome
Description: partial contains 5.8S ribosomal RNA, internal transcribed spacer 2, and large subunit ribosomal RNA
Rfam family: 5.8S ribosomal RNA (bases 1-105)
Source: RNAcentral
GAAACGCGAUAGUUAAUGUGAAUUGCAGAAUUCAGUGAAUCAUCGAGUCUUUGAACGCACAUUGCGCCCCCUGGCAUUCCGGGGGGCAUGCCUGUCCGAGCGUCAUUGCUGCCCUUCAAGCCCGGCUUGUGUGUUGGGUCGUCGUCCCCUCCGGGGGACGGGCCCGAAAGGCAGCGGCGGCACCGCGUCCGGUCCUCGAGCGUAUGGGGCUUUGUCACCCGCUCGAUAAGGACCGGCCGGGCGCCAGCCGGCGUCUCCAACCUUUUUUUCUCAGGUUGACCUCGGAUCAGGUAGGGAUACCCGCUGAACUUAAGC